This 338-nucleotide unclassified non-coding RNA is filed under the name soil metagenome. RNAcentral describes it as "partial contains 5.8S ribosomal RNA, internal transcribed spacer 2, and large subunit ribosomal RNA". The stretch from base 1 to 120 matches the Rfam family "5.8S ribosomal RNA", at positions 35 to 154 of the family's 154-position model. The record is from RNAcentral.
GAUGAAGAACGCAGCGAAAUGCGAUAAGUAAUGUGAAUUGCAGAAUUCAGUGAAUCAUCGAAUCUUUGAACGCACAUUGCGCCCGCCAGUAUUCUGGCGGGCAUGCCUGUUCGAGCGUCAUUUCAACCAUCAAGCCCCCCCGGCUUGUGUUGGGGACCUGCGGCUGCCGCAGGCCCUGAAAAGCAGUGGCGGGCUCGCUGUCACACCGAGCGUAGUAGAUCUCAUCUCGCUCAGGGCGUGCUGCGGGUUCCGGCCGUUAAACCACCUUCAUAACCCAAGGUUGACCUCGGAUCAGGUAGGAAGACCCGCUGAACUUAAGCAUAUCAAUAAGCGGAGGA